AACGAACGCUGGCGGCAUGCCUAACACAUGCAAGUCGAACGAGACCUUCGGGUCUAGUGGCGCACGGGUGCGUAACGCGUGGGAAUCUGCCCUUUGCUACGGAAUAACUCAGAGAAAUUUGUGCUAAUACCGUAUAAUGUCGUAAGACCAAAGAUUUAUCGGCAAAGGAUGAGCCCGCGUAAGAUUAGCUUGUUGGUGGGGUAAAGGCCUACCAAGGCGACGAUCUUUAGCUGGUCUGAGAGGAUGAUCAGCCACACUGGGACUGAGACACGGCCCAGACUCCUACGGGAGGCAGCAGUGGGGAAUAUUGGACAAUGGGCGAAAGCCUGAUCCAGCAAUGCCGCGUGAGUGAUGAAGGCCUUAGGGUUGUAAAGCUCUUUUACCAGGGAUGAUAAUGACAGUACCUGGAGAAUAAGCUCCGGCUAACUCCGUGCCAGCCGCCGCCGUAA
RNAcentral lists this ribosomal RNA (449 nucleotides) under uncultured bacterium. Its description in RNAcentral is "partial 16S ribosomal RNA". It matches the Rfam family "Bacterial small subunit ribosomal RNA", at positions 29 to 523 of the family's 1533-position model. The record is from RNAcentral.